UUCUCAUCUGUGUAUGAUCAGGAGUGGAAUAGUCUUCUCCUGGAUCCUAAGACCUUCAAACAAACUGCCAGUGUGUCCACAGACUCCCACCCCAACCCCAGCCAUAUUCAAGGCAACAUACAUGAGAGACAUGCCCUCCUUAUUGCCUUUAUUUAUUGGUAGCAUGAAGGCAGUGAGAUGUGAAGAGUAAGCAGAGAAGAAACAGGAGACCAACAAGGAAGCCACUGAGGAAAAGAAAGUCUAGGAGGUUUCAUUGGCUCACAAAUUGAGAGCUUGAGAGGAUCUCAGAGGCCAUCUUCAGCUCCUUCAUUUAGCAGACAAGGAUCCUGAGGCCCAGGGAGGCUGAGGGAUGUCUCAGGUUGGACAGGUACGUAAUGUCAGAAGUGGGAUUUGAAUGUCAGCCUUCUUACUCCCCAGGCAGUAGCAGAGCACCAUGCUGCCUCUGGGCAGCCUAGAUUUUAGGGCAGCCUUGAUUCUCAGACUAAUAUAAUGAUUAAUAGCCUAUUACUACUAGCUAGAUCUCCUUCUUGACUCCUUCCUCUCUCUCACUCACCAUAUCCAAUAAG
Molecule: non-coding RNA, 566 nt
Organism: Phascolarctos cinereus (koala)
Lineage: Eukaryota; Metazoa; Chordata; Mammalia; Diprotodontia; Phascolarctidae
Source: RefSeq, a predicted model, not a curated record